This 256-nucleotide ribosomal RNA is filed under the name uncultured bacterium. RNAcentral describes it as "partial 16S ribosomal RNA". It matches the Rfam family "Bacterial small subunit ribosomal RNA", at positions 79 to 334 of the family's 1533-position model. The record is from RNAcentral.
UCAAACCAAAGCUGGCGACCGGCGCACGGGUGAGUAACACGUAUCCAACCUGCCUCAUACUCGGGGAUAGCCUUUCGAAAGAAAGAUUAAUAUCCGAUAGCAUAUAUUUCCCCCAUGGGUUUUAUAUUAAAGAAAUUCGGUAUGAGAUGGGGAUGCGUUCCAUUAGUUUGUUGGGGGGGUAACGGCCCACCAAGACUACGAUGGAUAGGGGUUCUGAGAGGAAGGUCCCCCACAUUGGAACUGAGACACGGUCCAA